This is a non-coding RNA of Ictidomys tridecemlineatus (thirteen-lined ground squirrel), 4955 nucleotides long. The record is from RefSeq and is a predicted model, not a curated record. NCBI's taxonomy places the organism in Eukaryota, Metazoa, Chordata, Mammalia, Rodentia, Sciuridae.
ACGCCUUGGGCCGGGCCGAGAAUGUUGACAGAUGCGAAGCUCGGUUCCGAUAGGCCGACAGCUGUAGUAACAAUUUAGAAGCCCAAGCUUAGCAACAGCACGUGGUGGCCCGGCCCCCGCGCUUGCUGACUGGUGGCCGUCAUGCAUGUUAAGUAGGUGCCGCGCGCCGAUUGGGCCAGGGCGGUCUAUGUAAAUUGAGACCACCGACCAAUGACCCGCGGCCGGGCGCGCGGCCAAUAAGGGCGCCCCGGCCGAACGCGUUGCUGAGAGGAAGCGGAGCGCGCUGGGACCGCCGCCUGGCGCUCCACCCGGCCAGUAGGACGCGUGCAGCGUCUCCUGAGACCCGAAGCAGGAUGCACUGCGGGACAAGCGCCCUGCCACUCCGCCGGGCCCAUGCACAGUAUGUGCAGGGACUUGUUGCCCAGGUCCAGAUCCAGCACUGGCUCUGCGGGAGGACCAUGCCUAGCCGUCUGUCUGCUCCGGAGUCCCUUGUGGGGCUGCAAACGACACCCUUCUCCGCGGGACAGAGUGGCCUCAGGGAAGGCCUGGACUGGGAGAGGAACGUAAACGGUUGGAGCAUAAAACGAAGGCUUCUCUGAGGUUGUUAGUGGGGAAACCGAGAGCGGAAGUGUCGUUGUCGUUUAUUUAGUGGACACCAGGCUGAAAGUGGGGACCCGGCUAGGGAAGAGGACCGCCGCCACAAGCAGGAGGGGCUCUCAAGAGGAGAGGCUGCUUGUGGUGCCUGAUUUUAAGAGUAAGGCCGUUACAAGAGGCUGGCGCUGGUCCUUAGGCCAAGGCUGCCUUUUCUGGGGAGGAGCGAUUCGCUACUAGGAAGCAAGCGCCUGGCUGGGCGGUUGCGGCCGGCCGCAGUCGUGACCUUGGACUGUAAGGCAGGCUGGGUAGGAGGAAGAAGAGCUGGUAGUCCUAAGGCAGCCUCAGCCCGGCCUCAACCCCUUGAUCUUCAGAUCUUCAUUCUCACUGGCUUUCAAGGUUCGUGGCCUGGGAGCUGCUGAGGGCGGGGCCAAUCAGCUGGAAAGUUUUGUGUCAUAAAGUGACUAGACACCCCCCCACCCCAAGUUCCAUAUGGAAGUGGGGCUCUGCUGCCAAUAAAACAAAACAAAAACUGUUAAAACCUCAGCACUCUAGGUCCUGGGAGCAACAUAAAUGCAUUGCCUGUGUAUAUUUCCACAUACCCAAUUUACAAAUAAGGAACCCCUCAGCAAUCCCAGCAGAAUGGAGAUUGGCACUCCCACAUUGUGACCCAUGGCUGGCUAUGUAGGAGUGUGGCGACCAGAGCCACCUCUGGUCCAGUUGGUUCUGCUGGGGUGUGAGUGACAGCUGUUGAUCUGUGGGAUAGGGUUAAGAAUGUGUGCCCUUAGGGCCCUGCGGGAUCUAAUGGGGAACUUGAUACUUCCUGGAGACAGACCUGCUCCAACACUAAAAAAAAAAAAAAUCGUUGACCUGGGCUCUUCCUGCUCCAGCCCACAACCACCCCAGAGCCAGAAUACAGACUUUAGCCUUUAGUCUUUAGGGCUGCCGCGAGCCAUGCAGGAUGAAGGAGAGUGCCCAACUUUGGGAAGCAGUGAGGCGCAUUCUGCACUCUGGGAACCUGGACUCAACGCCUCGGGGUCAGCAUUUUACAAGGUUGCUCCAUCCCUGCAUUGGCAGCCCGUGGGUUAAGGUGACCUCACCCGCCUCCUGCUGCGAUGGACAGUGGGUUAGGCGUGACAGCAGGGAGCAGCCUUCCUGCUUCCUCUCAGCCUGAGAUUUUUAGCCUAGGCCAAUUCUGAAUCUCCCCUCAUCCAGCUGCAUCCAAGGACCUAGCACUUCCGGUGCCUACGGAGCUUGACCUCACCCUGGAUUGCGGGGGAGCUGGAGAAAGUGGGCAGGCGUGGCUGAGAGAGGGACAGACAGACAGACAUGAAGGAGGAAUGUGGGUCCAGAUGUAGACAUGUUCCGGUGGUAUUGGGGUGGCCUUCCAAGGGGAGAGGCUAAGACUCUGAUGACUGGGCAAGUAUGGGCUGGGCACUGGCCAAGAAACACAGAGGGGCCCCUGCCCCGCCCCACCCAGCCCUGCUACUGCUCCUGGACCCACAGGGCUGCCAGGCCUUUCUCUCAGAGGUGAAGGACCGGGCUGUGCUUAGGAGAAUGUGUGCUGGGCUGGGAGGCAGCGCUGCUCUCAGGGAAGCUGCUGGAGGAGGGGGUCUGGGAGGAAAUAAGCCCCUCUCUCUAGGACUCUGAGAUAUGGGAUGGCAUGAGGUGGGCACCCAUUCCAGCCUCCUUUGGGUCCCAUCGGCCUCCCACUGGCUCCCACUGCAUAGUCCAGAGGGCACCAGGCCAACCCACUCCAGGGUGCUGUUAGCCCUCACCCAACUCUAGUGGUGUGAAGUGUCCAGCUCCAGCCAGGGAGCUCUCUUCCUGGGCUCCUUCCAUUGUUGCUGAGCCAGCCAUGGGCCUCUCUGGACCCUGAAAACUGGGGCCUGCUCACUGGGUCUGGUUGCCCUGAGGGCCUAGUUGUGACUUGCAGUGAGGUGGUCCUUGCACAAAGAUGGUCCUGGAAGCUAGAUGGAGCUGAGGAGACAGUAGAGUGUGGUGCCCCCUGGUGGCAGUUAAGGGCUACAGUAGGAAUCUGUUGGGAGCACAGACCCAAACCACAGGAGGAGAGGGGGUCCCUGCAUCAACCCCCCUCACUUGGCCUCCAGCACUGUCAUCACCAACAAGGAAGGACACCACCAGUCCUUCUGAGCCCCAUGCUGCACUGCCCCAGGGUUAUCUGCUUCCCUGCUUAUGCCCUUUCUGUCCUCACUCAGCCCAGGAAUCAGCUUACUGUAGAGUAGGGACCCUCACACCCUGCGACCUCCAAAAGUCAGACAGGAUUCUGCCCCAGGGCUUCCUUCUGAGCCCCUGGAUACAGCAAGCUCUGGAUGUCUUCCCAGACCCUCCACCCUUGGCCUUGCUAGCUACCCCAUGGAGAGCUGUAGCACCUGGGGGAGGGACUACCUGGCCUAGGGCCCCUUCUGUCACCAAAAGCUGAAGUGGGGGUGUUGGGGAACAAUGACAGGCCCCUUCUCUGUGUAACCAGAAAGCAGUGACAUCCCUGCCUCCAGCUCCAGAAGGUGAACCGUGCUCCUGCUUUCUAAGGUGCCUUACCCAGGAGUAGCAUCUAUGAAAACAAGCCAGUGCUUCCCGAUGUCUCGCUUCACCGUCUUGCUUCUGCCUUCUGUGGGAGCCUCCAAGAAACCUACAACCCAGCUCUGCUGCUCACUGACCUGCAAUCUUCAGCUUCCUGUCUAUGGCAUGGAGAUCUUGCUCCCUCAAGGGAAUCUUAUGGGAUUGCCACAGGCAUGUAUAAAGUGGGGAAUGGCAUUGUUCAGGGCAGUAGCAGGAAGGACAUGAUGAUGGUGUUGAUUAGGAAAUGGGUUUGGGAAGGCCGGCCUGCAGGAGGUCCCAAGGCUGGCUCAAAAGUGCUGACUAUAAACCCAGAGCUCUGGGUAUGCUCCUAGCCCCAGGGCCUCCCAGCCCCAAGGCCCAGCUGUGGGUGGCCAGGAAGCCAUCCCUUCUACAUUCUGUCUGAAUUGCACCUGUCUUGGUCCUGGGUUCUUCCCUUGGGUGGGGACAGCCCCAUAGAAAGGUAGUGAUCAAGCAUCUCAAGUUUAGCAUGGAAAAGUCCUGGAAACUCUGCUCCUGGGCAAAUGGGACUGUUGGUCAUCUCCCUGAAGGACACCUGUGACUCUAGGCCUUUCUGCAGGGCAAUCUGUCUCCGGGCAGCACAAAGGCAGGCCAAGGCUGGCCUGGAGGGCUUCCUAUGAACAGACCACACCCAGCCUUCCUGCCUACCUCCCUGUAGGUUCUUCUCACCUGGUGGACAAGGAGGACACCACACCUCAGGUCUGGAAGGUGACCACUGAGGGUGCCUGUAAGCACAGAGGGAUGCUGCAGUACGUCUCUGUGGGAUUCUGCAGGGCCUGGUUUCCUAGCCUGUGGCAGCAGGGGUGGCCUCCUCCAGAGAGGUGACAAUUCUCCUGUGGACAUGCUAACCAUCAGAGUGUAGGGGUGGUAGAGGGGCCAUUUCUCUGCAUUCUGCCCAGGUAAGCAGGAGGGUGGGUUCAGGUCUUGGAUGGCCAGAGAUGCUGAGGUCCCCCAAGCUGCCCCUUCUGCUCCUGAAGGGCUUGCCCUGCUCAGAGGGAGCCCCAUGUUCUAAAACGUCCUGACUUACGGAGAGUGGAUAUGGUGGCUAUUGUGGCCUCUCACAACUCUGCUCAAGUUUCAAGGGCACAAAGGACAGAGGAAGCCCCAUCACUGGAGUAAUCCAAGGCUGUGCUGGCACUCCUACAGUCUCUUCAUGGCACCCCAAAAGCAGUCCCCAGACUAUGAGGUAGUGAGGCUGGAGACCAAGGCCACAAGGUCAGCCCCCAGUAUAGGGGCCAAGAGUACUAGCCCUGCCCCCAAGCACAGGCCAGGGGUCUCAGCCAAAGAUUCACAUAAGAAGGGGAGCUGCAGGAUGGGCAGCAGUGGAGAAGGGCACUCUCACAGGGCAGGGGACAGGCUUCCAGAGAGUGAGCAGCCACCCCUUUCCUGGAGGCUGAUGGGACGCCAAGUCCUUCAAUCGUCCCAAAGUGCAGAAGCCCUGGCUUCCUAUAGGAGAAUCCAUGACAGCACAAAUACCACCCCUGCCCAGACAGAGGAAAAGGAGUUGAUGCUCACAGAAGACAGGACAGCGUCUGCAAUCUUUAAAUAGAUUUAUGGAAAUGGUUUUGAGUUACAGCUGUUAGAAAAUAAAAAUAAUCUCAAUACAUAAUAUUCCCUCCAAUAUAUAUUCUCCCCUACAGAAGCCAUCUCUGUGCAAGAGUAUUCCACUGCUCAACAGUAAUUGGACUUCAUCCUAUAAAAGAAGCAGUAGGUGUGUCAUCUCUCCAAAAAUAAAACUGCAAUCGUCAUUGCAAUGUGAAGCCUGA